This 593-nucleotide long non-coding RNA is filed under the name Monodelphis domestica (gray short-tailed opossum). Its description in RNAcentral is "lncRNA (ENSMODG00000030958.2)". Lineage: Eukaryota; Metazoa; Chordata; Mammalia; Didelphimorphia; Didelphidae. The record is from RNAcentral.
GGAGAAAGGAGAGGUACCCUGUUGUUAUUCAGUUAAGCUGACUUCCUGAGGACUCCAUUUCAGGUUUUCUUGGACAAAGAUAUUGGAGCUCAUUUUACAGAUAAGGAAACUGAGGCAAACAACUGGGCUAAGUGAUUUGCCCAGGGCCACCCAGAUAAGCAUGUGCAUACACUCUCAGCCUACUCCCACUGCAAGUCUUUACCUCACAAGGUGAUGAAUAAUAGAAAGGUUGUAACUGCAUAGAAGAAUCUUCCAUUUGGCUGGGGAGCUGGAGCUGCAGAGACAGAAACUGAUCUAUGUUUCUGACCCUACUUCUUGUUAGUUAUGUCUUUUUCACUUCAGAUGCUGAUCAAAGACACUGGAACUGGCAUAAGAGGAAAAUAAACACCAUAGACACUGAUGCCAUAAAUAGUAAUGUAAAUAUAACAAUAACAAUGUACCACAAAGCCAAGAUGACCCAUGAGAAGGAAGACUACGCAUGAAUGGAGAAAGAAAUACAUCAUCUUUUGUAGUUAAUGCUAUCCCCCCCUCCAACCCCAAUCCCAAUCCCAGCCCCUAGUCAUGGGUGGUUUGGAAUCCAGAGGGGUACACCC